This 13630-nucleotide long non-coding RNA is filed under the name Lathyrus oleraceus (garden pea). RNAcentral describes it as "Pisum sativum (pea) long non-coding RNA (PSAT_LNC039507)". Lineage: Eukaryota; Viridiplantae; Streptophyta; Magnoliopsida; Fabales; Fabaceae. The record is from RNAcentral.
UUAAAUCUCUCUUAAGCUCUCUCUCUCUCACAGACCCCCCCUCAGGCUGAAAAGAAAAAAAGAAACAAAGAAGAAGAAAUACUUUCUUCCUCUCCUGCCGCACAUCACUUCCACCCACACAGCACAUCCACCGCACCCCGUCUUCCUCUUCACACCAAAACCACCUCCAUCUUCCUCUCUAAAUCCAGCCGAAAAAUCGUUUCUUUCGCCUCCUAAAAACAAUCACCACCGUUCACCACCGAAACAACCUCCACCAUGCACCUCCGUCCGGCGAACCAUCAUCCUCACUCCCUUUCCUUAAUAACUCCCUCGCCGCUACAACCGCCGACAAACCCAACCUACCAUCAUCCCCCAUCGUCUUCACCAUACUAACACCUCAUUCUCGCUUCCGUCAAAACAACCAACUGCGCCUCCGGCGGUUCUCCACCACUUCGUCCUCUGGAUUCAACACCUCCAACCUUCGUCUCUGUUGAAUUUCCAUCUGGUUUAGAAGGAUAACACCUCAUUCUCGCUUCCGUCAAAACAACCAACUGCGCCUCCGGCGGUUCUCCACCACUUCGUCCUCUGGAUUCAACACCUCCAACCUUCGUCUCUGUUGAAUUUCCAUCUGGUUUAGAAGGCUCGUUCAGCCAUCACUGUAUGUUGCAAUAGUGGCGGUGACGACGUUUCUUUUGUGACUUAAAAACUCUGAAAAAAGACCAGGUUUUGUAAAGGUAAGACAAUAACGACCACAACCUCGACUCAACUCGUGUUUCCGCAACAACGGGAAUUUGCGCAACUUCGCCUCGUUUCUUUCCGUCGGGCUUCCAUAACCGAAAAAACCAAACAACAAACCUUCCAGCUCUGCAACGACAACAAAUGACAGCAGUGACACAACUUCGGUAAAUAUAUCGAUUUCGUAUGCUUAAUGUGUUAUGAUUUUGAGAAUAAUUUUGUUAUUACAGUAAACUUUUAUCACUGGUUUGUGUUGAUUUCUCUUGUAUCACAACUUGUUGUAACUAUUAUAGUAAUAUGGAUAUUCUAAAAUUGAUUCCAUUUGGUAGUCGGUUUGAAUACGACUUUGGCCUAAUUAUUCUCUACUGAUUUCAUAUUGUAUUUUAGUCUGUAGAUUAUCUUACCAAAGUGUUGCUGCAACUAACUCUAGAAGGUUUUUGCUGUUAUGAUAAUUUGUGAGCAUUAUACAUAUUGAAUUGCAACUUAUAUUUGGCACGUCCAGUUGGUUUUCUGUUUGGCAAAGUGUUAACAUAUUGAAUUGCAACUUAUAUUUGGCACGUCCAGUUGGUUUUCUGUUUGGCAAAGUGUUAUAUUGUUCUUAUGGGCAAGGCUUUUGUUUAUUGUUAUAUCCAACAGGUUUGUUGAUGUUAUUCUCGUUACGUCCUGUUAAUCGUAUCAUGUUGAUUCUGUGGGCAUAUUGAACUUCAUGAUGUGUUAUGUCGGGGUAAUUUAGUAUUGAUUACAAUGGAUUGGUUACAGGUUUACUGCUAUUAUUUUCUUGCUGCGGAAUUAAAAUGGUUUGGCAUCGCGUAUAACAGUUUAUGUCAUGUUUUCCUGGAUGUUAUGCUGUUUGUUAUAGCCAUAGUUUUGGUUUUGAUUCGGUUGCAAUAAUCUAUGUUGAUGGGUAUGUUGUAAUAUUCUUUUCUGGGGCAUUUUCGAUGUGAUCGUGUUGUUGUUGUUGUGUGCUUAAGUUGUCGCGUUUAAAAUUGAAUAUCAUUCGCAGCUUCGACGUGUAAAUGUUUCAAUUAUAUUUCUGUUUCAAUUGCAUAUUUACUUCCUUUCCGAUUGGGUUAUACCGUUUUGGUAUUCGAUAUUAUAAUGUUGAAAAUACUGUUAUAAACAGGAAAUUGUAUCAUAUUCUGGUCCUGUUCUAGCUGUUGAAUCAUGCUUAUAGCUCUAAUAUUUGUUUCGGUUUCAAUAUGGUUGCAUUACAUGUCGGUUUUAUUGCAUAAAUUUCAAUGCCGUAUAUUCUGUGAUGGAGUGUGUUUCGGGAUGAAUAACCUUGUAAAUAUUCAUAAGUUGUUUUUUUAUUAUGCUACAUUAUUAUGCUAGUUUCUAUAAUAUUGAUUCAGUGGAAGAUUCUUAUAAGGUUCAAGGUAUAUCAUGUACUGUUUUUCUAUAGGCUUUUCUUGUUAAUUUUGAUUUGUUUACAUUGUUGUUGGUGUUUGUUUUGUAACUGUUUUUCUAUAGGCUUUUCUUGUUAAUUUUGAUUUGUUUACAUUGUUGUUGGUGUUUGUUUUGUAUAAAAGCAUUUGUGAGUAUCCUGUAUAUUGGGCAUUUGGGGAUUGUGUAGAUGUUGUUAGUUGGUGCUCAUUCUUGGCUUAAGUUUGAUACUAUUAUGAACUUGCCAUGAAUUCUUUCGUGGUAAUUUCCAAAAGGAUGCGCACGGAGUUGAUGAGUGUUAAUCAUGUUUGGUGGAUAUUUCCCAAAACUUAUGUUCUUCCAUUUCUAAACAUUCUGAUAUUGUUAAGUUUUUUUUUUAAAAUUAUUAAAGUAGUGUACAUUGAAUAAUUAGAUUUUAGUUUUGUUUCUAAUAGUCUAAUGAUUAUUAGUUAUUGAAACUCAAUUUUAUGUUUUGUUCCCGAGAGCACAAUUGGUUUUGUUUUGGUUGGUUGUGUUAAAAGAAACAUAGACUUUUUAUUUAGUCUCUGAUGUAAUCCCUUUUAUUUUACCAUUGUGAAAAUGAAUUGUAUCUUUCUAUCCAUGGGUAUAGCACAAUUGGUUUUGUUUUGGUUGGUUGUGUUAAAAGAAACAUAGACUUUUUAUUUAGUCUCUGAUGUAAUCCCUUUUAUUUUACCAUUGUGAAAAUGAAUUGUAUCUUUCUAUCCAUGGGUAUCUUUUCAUUUAUAGUGUGCCCAUUAAGAGUGCAAUGUAAAUAUAAUAUUGUGUUGCUACUAUUUCAUUCCAUUUUAAACCGGUUUUUUUUUACUUACGGAUUCGACUCUAUGUCGUUAUGCCGUCAAAAUUUCUAUAAAUUAAUUGUAUAUUUUCACCGUGUUACGAUCUUGUGUAUGACACAAAUCAUAUUGUCAUUUCGCUCUAACCGGUUUUGAGCAUAUUGUAACCAAUUCAAUCCAAUCUUUUUUUAAUCGACGUUAUCACAUAUUUUCAUUCUUUUAAUUAAAUUGAUUAAUAAUCAAUUGAAAUUUUGCUUAACUAGUUAAUUACUAUUAAUUAAUUUUAAUUAACAUGAUUAUUUGGUUUGAAUAAAUAAUUUGAUAAUUAAUCUUAAUUAAUUUAAUUAAUCAAUUUAAUCAAACUUUAAUUAAUUAAUUUGGUUAAUUAAAUAUUGAUUGAUUUAUUUCAUUCCAUUUCAUCAUCAAUCCAAAACCAUUAAAAUCAUAAUUCUCGAUUCAAAAUCGAGCCAAUUUUCCAAAACCUUUGUAAGUCGAUCGCUUUUAAAGCAUCGUCGUCAACCUCAUAUAGCUUACUCUUGGGCUUUCUUACAAUGAGACCUAUUCGAUUUUUUAGUCGAGUAGAUGAUUGAUUCACUAAUAAAAUCCAUUUCAUUCGUAAACACAAAUUUAAAACCUCAAUCCAACAUCGAGUAUUCUUAUUUAAAAUUAAAUUGAAAUACCUAAUCAUAAUUAAACACCAUUUCAUUUGGAAAUGAAAAAGGGGAUGGUUUUGAGUUUUCAACUUCUCUCCUCGAUUAUUUGAAUACGAGUUCUCUUACUCGGUUAGUCAAAUGGUCGUCACUUCUAUCCACCUAAGCACAAACAAAUCGAAUCAUUUUAUAAUAAGAAACGAAAAAGGAGAUGACUUUGAGUUUUCAAUUUUUCUCCUCGAUUAUUUGAAUACAAGUUCUCUUACUUGGUUAGUCAAAUAAUUGUCGUUUCUCUACAAACUUCUAAACCCGAUGAAAUCAAAAACCUAUCAUAAUAAGUGAAAUGAAAAAGGAGAUGGUCUUGAGUUUUCAAUUCUCUUUUCAAAUGCUUGGAUGUGAGUUGUUUUACUCAGUCGUUCAAGUACUUGUCGUUCAUUCCUAUUUUCAUAGUCACUCAGAUGAAAAAGAAAGUGGUCUAGAGUCUUCUAUUCCCUUUCCCGAUUAUUGGGAUACGAGUUGUCUUACUCGGUUAUCCGAGUAUUCGUCAUCCAUUCAAAAUACAUUAAUCAUCAUUAAAAUCCUUUUACAAUUAAGGAUGAAAAAGAAAGCGGUAUAGAGUCUUUUAUUCCCUUUCCCGGUUAUUGGGAUACGAGUUGUCUUACUUGACUAUCCGAGUAAUCGUCAUCCAACCAAAAAUAUCUCAACACAUCAAAUCUAUCUUUUCUCGCCCUCGUGCGAUCAAAACCAAUCAAACAAAACGUCAAACAUAUUAAUCCAACUUGUCACCCUCGUGUGAUCAAAACUGUUUUCAGAAAGAACAUUGUUAAUCCUUUCUAAUGCGCACAACAAACUAGUGCUUAAGCCUCCGCCGAGAGUAGACAAGCCAACGUUUAGCCUUUAGAAUGUGAUCUAAACAGUUAUUCAUAAAAAACACACUAACCAACCGCAGUCCCCGAACUACGAAUGCUCUAAUUUCCUUAUUGCACCAUAAGGAUACGUAGGCAGGAGAUUGAUGUAUCUUCGCGAGCACACUAAUAAAAAACCUCCCAUUUCCCUUUUUGAGGUUCCCAUAAAUUUCUAUUUACAAUAAUUUUAUGACCCAAAAGAUAACAAACAAACAUAAAUUAACACUCGAAACACAUAUUAGAACUAAAAGGUUCUCGUUGAGUACAACGGACGUAAGGGGUGUUGAUACCUUCUCCUUACGUAAUCCACUCCCGAACCCGAAUAUGGUUGCGACGACCAUUAUUCCAUUCCCUAAAGGUUUUGUCAAUAUUUUCCUACCCCUUUGUUGGGAUAAAUAAAGUUCGGUGGCGACUCUGUUCGAACGUAAAUUUUUUCCGCGACCAUCGCGAGGAAUCGUAUUUUUCGAGAUGCGGCAGAUGGCGACUCUACUAGGGAUUAGCUCCAAGCAAAAGAGAGUGAAGCCUAAUUUAGUUUAAUUUCUGUAUUGUUUGUUUGAUUGUUAUUUUUGCUCUGUUAUUAUUAUUCUGUCAUAAUUAUUGUAUUGUGAUUUAUUGAUUAUGUCUUAUUUGGGGCUUUCUGUUAAUGGUGCUUUAUGAGAUAGGCUCUCUACCCGAGUCUGAGAAAAACCAUAAGAUUAAGUUGGUGGUUGCGUAGUGGACGCCCACAAGGGGUCUUCCUUGUUAGGAAGAUACGAAGACCUCGCCUAGAGGAGAUUCUCUUGAGAUAUUAUUGCCCGACGAGUCUUCGUCACGACGAUAGUAUUCUCAAGAUGGAUCAAUGGCUCUAGGGACCUUUUAACCCACUAUAUCCGGAGGUUAUGUAGUAUUUACCUACGAAGUUUCAGACUUGUUGGGUUAGUACGAAAGCCCCAAUCAGAUGAGAUCCCUUGGACGUAUUACUAUCUUACAUUAAUAUUUCCAACCUCGAUCUAUGACUCUGAGAACCUUGUUAGAACCUUGGACUCGAGAGUUGUGUAGUAGAAUCCCCAUGGAGCCUUCCUUGUUGGGAUAAUACGAAGACCUCACCUAGACGAGAUACUUGGACUCGAGAGUUGUGUAGUAGAAUCCCCAUGGAGCCUUCCUUGUUGGGAUAAUACGAAGACCUCACCUAGACGAGAUCUUCUUAAGGAUAUUAUUGUCCGACGAGUCUUCGUCACGGCAGUGACGUUCUUCAGAAAUAUUUGUGACUCUAGGGACCUAUCAACUGUAGAGCCUACCCAUGGGGUUACAUUAAUCAGAGAUACCCGUCAUUUACCCGUUAUUUUGAUCCGUCUGAGAACAUCGUAAACCUGUGAUCCUGAACAUGUCACUACAUUCAUACACAUAUCAUUGCAUCUGCAUUCAUCACGCAUUGCAUAUCAUUUUUUGCAAAAAAUAUACACAAAAAACUCAUCCACCAUUCGUCCAUAACCUGCACUUGAUUUCCCGACACUCAUAUUAGACUUGAAGUGAAUCUUGAAAGAUCAUGGAUCCAUUGGAGAAAAGUCAUAUUGCAUUAAGAGGAGAUGUUGACUCGAUGAAAAACCAGCUAGACCAACUUGUGGAAGCUAUGAUAACUUUAGCAAAAAGGGAAGACAACAUUCAGCAGGCUGCAGUCGUUGAGAAUGUUAUUUCAACUCCAGUAAAUGGUCCUACCCAACCUCAGCUUGUGCAAACCCUAGUUGGUAACUCUACUGUACAAGAACGUCAUGUUAUUCAAGAUUCCUCACGUCAUGACGUUGUUGAGUGUCACAGUUUUGCAUUCUCCGUGCCAGAUUCCCAUGGAACAAACCUAGUGGUUAAUGCUGAACAACCACAAGAUGAGGAGAUUGCUAAAAGAUGUUGCGUGCUAGAGAAAAGAUUUAAGGCCAUAGAAGGGAAAGAUACGGUUGAACUGAAUGCUUUGGAUAUGUGUUUGGUACCUGGCCUGGUUAUACCCACAAAAUUCAAAGCACCAGAAUUUGAGAAGUACAAAGGGGAUGGCUGUCCAAAGCACCAUUUGGUGAUGUUUUAUCGAAAAAUGACCUCUCAUGUCCAUGAUGAUAAGUUGAUGAUUCAUUGUUUCCAGGAUAGUUUGACUGGGGCAUCAUUAAGUUGGUACAUGAAGUUAGAAAGGAAUCAUGUUCAAUCAUGGUUGGACCUAGCUAACACAUUCUUGAAGCAAUAUAAAUAUAAUAUGGACAUAGCUCCCGACCGCAUGCAGCUAAGAGCCUUACCUCAAGAAGACAAUGAAUCCUUCAGAGGGUAUGCCCAAAGAUGGAGAGAGUUAGGGACUUGCGUUGAGCCACCACUCUUAGACAAAGAAUUGAUGGAAUUAUUCAGGGACACCCUGCAAAGUCCAUACUUCGAAAGGAUGAUUAACAUCGCAGCAUCGUACUUUGCUAACUUAGUGACAAUUGGAAAACGUGUCGAGAGUGCCCUAAAAAGCGGAAGAAUCCAAGGUGCCUCGAGCAACCAAGCUAGCGAGACAGAAUCCCUCAGCGAUUCCCAAAAGGAAGAGGAUGAUGAAAUAAAUGCAGUCAUGGCAAAUGUUGGGAAUUCUCACGAUGCACCAGCCAGACCUUAUGGUUCUUCACCUUCUCAUCAAUCACCAAUUCCAACACCACGUUAUCCUUAUAGGCAACCGGCAAGGCCUAGAGCACCAUCCAAGCAACCACAGACUGUUCAUCAUACAAAUCAAAGAUCUCAUGGUCAAGGAUAUAAGAAUCAGCAUCUGAACUAGCAUAGGCCUCGAAACAAUCUGGAGAGAAGGAAUGCACCUCUUGAUCCAAUUCCUAUGUCAUACAGUCAACUUCUGUCAUAUCUGAUUCAAAGCUCGCUGGUGGAGCCCAAGUCUCUCAGGCUAUUGUCAGAACCAUACCCACCUCGAUAUGAUCCUGGUGUGCAAUGUGGAUAUCAUGCCGGAACAAUAGGGCAUUCAACUGAAGACUGCAAUGCUUUCAAGGCUAAAGUGCAACAAUUGACCGACAAAAGGUACAUAUCCUUUUCAGAAGGAAGCAUGUUGGUGCAUGUUAACCUCUCAUUAGAAUAAGUUCAAAGAUUUCAUAGAGUAUCUCCUAAUGCGAGUAGUUCAGACGGGAAGACAUCCUCAACACUGGCAAUCGUUGGACUGAUUUGUUUCUAUUUUUGCAUUUGUAGUUUCUUUGUUGUUAAAAGCUGCUUGUGUUUAAACAUUGUUGUUUUUAAUGGUAAUAUUGAUGAAGUAUUGUUUCUAUUUUUGCAUUUGUAGUUUCUUUGUUGUUAAAAGCUGCUUGUGUUUAAACAUUGUUGUUUUUAAUGGUAAUAUUGAUGAAGUAAUGAUGCAUGUUUUGAAUUAAUUAUCUCGCAUUCGCCCAUUUUUCUUCUCUUAUAUCAAAAUCUAAAAAUACAUCAGUGUUUCUCCCAUUCACUUUUCUUUAUAAUAACUUUUGUUUUAGCAAAGAUUUGAGGGAGGAUGACGAAAACAAGAUACCCAUAACUGCUGACUGUAUGCUUUCGGAUAAAAUCCUACUGAUGAUGUAUAGGCAUUGUUUCAAAUCCCCAAACACUGGAGAGAUAAGGAGUUAAUCCCUAGUCAACCACUUCGAGCCUAGAAGUAGGAGUUUCUUUUGGAUAUACAAACCCUUAUGUUUAAACCGGGGCAGGGUAGUGUUCAGUUAGUCUGACUCCACAUUUGGAUUGCAAGGGAAUACAUUCCGUCUAUGGAUCAACCACAUGAUAUUCCUUACACACACCCUGAAGUGUCGAAGGAACCAUACAAAUCCAAAUUUUAUGUCGGUUGUUCUUCAAUGACCAAUGACUUGGCAGUCAUAGUUUCCAAAAAAAAUCAAAGAAAGAGCCCGCUAAGUCCAACACCCUAAAAGGAGACUUAGGCAAAAACUGGGGCAAUCCUGAUGGAUUAAAGCUUCAAUAAGUGGUCCAUGCAAAAGUUAGGGAUCAAAACAAAAAUCAAAAGAGGCAAUGAAAAUCCUCAACAAAAGAAAAUAAGAUCCGGUGACCGCCAUACCAAAAUCAAAGGGUCACCAACAUAAAAAAAAUGAAAUAAGAUGACUGCCAUUUCAAGAAAGCCUUGAAUCUUCAUCUUUCUCCUUACACUGUCAAGCCUUUUUGAUAAAUGUGUGUGUUGAAUUAACUGAGCUUAGGACUGGAGAUCAUCACGAAGAAGGGAUGGGUUAAAACAAAUUUGAGCCUUACAUCCUUUGUUUCAAUAACCAUAAACCAAGCCACAUUACAACCUUUAAAAGACCUAAUUGAGGUAAGGUUUACUCUGAAAGCAUACUACAGCAAGGUUGCAUAAACUGACUCCUAGAUAUUUGCUAAUCACCUGUAUUGGCAUCUUAUUCUCACCGUAUCUUUCACACUUUAAACUGCUAAAUCAGCAUUACAUUUGGACUCAUGGUCCACUCAUCACAUACUAUCACAUCAUUCCAAUAAAUGAUUCUUUUUCAAAACUUGCAUGAGUAUCGCAUUAAAAUUACCAUUUCUAAACAAACGAUUUUAACUGCAAGACAGUACUUGACGUCAGGGAAAUUCCAACAAUAAGGAACAAUCAGAGGAACUGGGACAUUCGUUGGCUAACCCGAAUCAAGACUACCUUACAACCUAUGAAUCUAAGGCAUGCCACCUAAACAUCAAUUGAUCAUAGGAAAAAUACUCCAAGAAUUGGUCAGUCUUAAAUAGUCUCCAACAUCUGUUAAUAAAUGUGCAAAUCAUUUCAAGAAUCAGUUGAUCCAGAGCAAAUCAUCUCAGGACUCUAUUAACUAGGGGAAGAUCACCUAAAGGUUCUGGUGGCCAGGGGCAGACCCCUUCAAUGUUCAGUUAAGGUAAGUUAAGUCGCUUCAACGCUCAUAUCGGGGCAAGCUACCUCAAGAGCACAGAAAGUCAACCACUCCAAGAGUUGGUUAACCAAGGAUAAAUCCUUUCAUGGAUCAAAAUUCUGGGGCAAUCCAUCUCCAAAUUAUGGUACAAUUGCUUUCAAAAUCCUUUCAAGGUAAACAUUUUGCAUAGACCCAUCACAUUGGGGCAAAGAUAAAUCCUUUCAUGGAUCAAAAUUCUGGGGCAAUCCAUCUCCAAAUUAUGGUACAAUUGCUUUCAAAAUCCUUUCAAGGUAAACAUUUUGCAUAGACCCAUCACAUUGGGGCAAGAUGAGCCAUACAAGAGCGAGUCCUUUCCAUGUUUUCAAGCAGUUCAAGUAAAAGCUUUUUCCGCAAGUCAACUGCAGAGUUCAAGAUGAGUGUCGGGGAAUCACGCCAUCACCCCUAUCCAAUAACCUUUUGGCAGACAAAAGUCUUUCUGCAAAGAACCUUCUCUUCCAAUACCCACGCAGGGGCAUUUUGAAAGCCUUCAAAUCAUUGCAUAAAGCAUCCUCAUGCAUUAGUCAUGUCGCUUUGCUCUGACGUAAAACCAUGCAUAUCAUAAAAUUAAUCGGGUCUAACCCCAUAACAUGAACCUGGCAUCAAAAAGCCUUGAAACACAAAAUCGGACACCAAAGCCCAACAUCGCUUGGCCAUUUUAAAGUCCAGUUCUCGUCUGGAAAUUUAUUUCAAAGACCAGUUCCCGUCUGGCAAUUUACUUCAAAGGCCAGUUCCCGUCUGGCAAACCUUUUUCAAAAAAACCAGUUCCCGUCUGACAACUUAUUUCAAAAGCCCAGUUCCCGUUUGGCAAACCUUUUUCAAAAGAACCAGUUCCCGUCUGGCAAUUUACUUCAAAGCCCAAUUCCUGUCUGGUAAUUUAUUUCAAAGUCUAGUUCUUGUCUGGCAACUUAUUCCAAAGUCCAGUUAUCGUCUGGAAAACUAUAUCAAAAAUCAGUUCUUGUACGACAAAUCAUUUGCCAAAUACCAGUUCUCGUCUGGUAAAUUAUCUCUUAAUACCAGUUCUCGUCUGGUAGGUCACCUAUUUUGAUACCAAUUCUCGUAUAGUAGUCAAUUAUUUUCACCAGUUCUCGUCUGGUAGCCUACUUUAAAAAUCAGUUCCUGUCUGAUAAACAAAAGCAAAUUCAGUCCCGUCUGACAUUUCAAUUAUUUUCUCCAGUUCGCGUAUGGUAACAUAUCCUUCAAGUGAUGUCCUUAUCUGGCAGUUUAAUCUCCUUCACCAGUUCUCAUCUGGCAGUUCCCAUUUAAAGUCCAACCUCAUUGGCAAUCAAGAAGUAAACCCUACAAAAACAUCCAAUUACCCAGUUGCAUUCCCACAUGCAUCACACGAAUCAUCCAUACAUGGUUUUCCUACCAAACAAAAAAUUAAAAAACACAGUCAUAUCAAUCAUCAGCAUACUCAUGCAUAACACUCCCACAAAAGGGGAAUUUCAACAAAAUAAAAAUCAUUUGCAUUCCUACAUGCACAGCCAAAUAUCCCCAGCAGUUGCAUACUUGCAUACAUCUCAUGCAUCAUCCCCUGCAUGGCAUUCCCAUCUAAAAUGGAACAUCAUACAAAAAUCAAAUAUAAAAUAUCAAUAUCCAAGAUCAUUCAUGAAUAUCUUAGACAUUUCUCAUUUCCAAAUAAAGUUAUUUCCCUGCAUGUGCUCAUGGAAUUAUUUCUCAGCAAACCAUUUUUCAACUUCAUGAUUAAUAAUGGUAUUCCCAGCAUUUUCGUUGCUAUCAUCGCUCCCCAAGCAGAGGUUACCCUAAAAAGUCUCUUAUGAGCUUUUUCCCCUGCAGAGCAUUUCCAGUAUGUCUCCCUCAAAAGGAACCUUUUCUUAAAGUUCCCCCAACAGACGAAUAUUCGAGAUACUGCUUCAUUUAUCUAAAGAAUCUCAUCUCUCUGUUUGAGAUACUGCUUCAUCAAUUUGAAGAAUCUCAUUUUUUUUCUAGAGAUACUGCUCUAAGUAUCCUCGGAGAGUCUUAGAUUCAAUUAAGGUAUCAUUCCCUUGUUCGGAAUAUCUUAAUUUUAUCAUAUAAGAUGAUGCUUCGACUCGAUACAGAGAAUCUCAUUGUUACUGUUUGAGAUACUGCUUCAUCAAUAUGAAAAGUCUCAUUUUAGAUUUUUUAGAGGUACUGCUCUAAGUAUCCUCGGAGAGUCUUAGAUUCAAUUAAGGUAUCUUUCCCUUGUUGGAAUAUCUUAAUUUUAUCAUAUAAGAUGCUGCUUCGACUCGAUACAGAGAAUCUCAUUUUUACUGUUUGAGAUACUGCUUCAUUAAUAUGAAGAGUCUCAUUUUAGAUUUUUUUAGAGAUAUUUCUCUAAUAUCCUCGGAGAGUCUUAGAUUCAAUUAAGGUAUCUUUCCCUUGCUGGAACAUCUUAAUUCUAUCAUAUAAGAUGUUAUUUCGACUCGAUACAAAGAAUCUCACUUUUACUGUUGAGAUGCUGCUUCAUCAAUAUGAAGAGUCUCACGCCAAAUUUUCUUUAUACUGCUCUAGCAUCCUGAAAAAUCUUGAGAUUUAGCUAGGGAUGUCAUUCCAUUACUAACAUAUCUCGACUAUGACGUCCAAGAUACUAUUCUGACGACUCCCAGAAAGUCUUGGCUGCUCCAUUUUACUUUAGGAUAACGUCUCUCACUAUUUCUCACUGCAUUUUCUUCCUAUAUUUUCUUCCUUGCAUUUCCCAGGACAAAAUUUGGGUCUUUUCGUAUUUAAUUAUCUUCCACUAUGAAUGUACGAAGACUAUUGUCAUUCUUACCUUCUAGUUCAAGAUAAUGAAAUAAGGGCAGCUGUCAUACCCCAAUUUUGUCCGGGCAUAUUUAAAUUUUUGUAAAAUCGAUUUCAUUUUUAAUUUGCAUCAUAUGCACAGCAUGACAUGCAUUCCAUCAUGAAUAAUAAAUUUUUGUAAAAUCGAUUUCAUUUUUAAUUUGCAUCAUAUGCACAGCAUGACAUGCAUUCCAUCAUGAAUAAUAACUAAAAUAUCAGUCAGAAUAAAUUUAUUGAAAAUACAGACAAAUCGAUUGAAUAAUUUCUCAAUAACGUGCACAAAUCAGGAGGUAAAAAGCUUCAAAAUUAAAAUUACAGACACCCGUAUUAUUAAUCUACGAUUCACGUAGUUUAAACUAGUGUGCUCGUUGUUUAUUUUAGCGGCUAUUUCGAUUGCAUUUUGACCCGCCUGAGCCUUUUAACCGGUGCAAAUUUAUUUCAGAAUUUGAAGAAACGCUGUAUUUUUUCAAUAAGUAUAUUUUGUGCCGAUCAUUUUAGUGUGCCUGAUUUAAUUUUUCGAACAAAUUUACGGCCGACUUCUAUUUAUAAUCAAUCCUUUUAUUUCUUUGUUUUAAUAUCCAAAAUUAGAGAUUUGUCCUAUUAUUAUAAUUUUCUAAAUUAAAUUACUAUCUAAGAAUUUUUAAUAAAUAUUUUUUCUUUAAAUAAUAGAUAAUAAGAAUUAUUAAUAAAAAAGAAAAAUAAAAUAAAAUUAAGACACCUCACGUUUCCUCUCUUCCACAAUACUCUCUCACACACGUUACCCUCAUUUCCAUCACCACCUACCCACUCCAUCAGUCUCUCCCAACGAAAAUAAAAAAAAGAAAAGAAUAAGAUUUUGUCUGUUGGAGAUUGUUAUAUUUUACUCUCUCUGCUGACUUCACAAAGGAGACCAACAGACACUAACUUACUCUCUCAAAAAAAAAAGGAUUAAAAAUGGAAAAAGAGAAGAAGCCUCUGGGUCUUUCCCUGAGCGCCUCACCCUUAACCAUUACCAUUCCUCUUCUUCAAAUACUCCAUCGUCUUCCACCCUUUCACCACACUAACACCUCAUUUUCGCUUCCGUCAUCUUUCCCUGAGCGCCUCACCCUUAACCAUUACCAUUCCUCUUCUUCAAAUACUCCAUCGUCUUCCACCCUUUCACCACACUAACACCUCAUUUUCGCUUCCGUCAAAACAACCAACCGCGCCUCCGACGGUUCUCCACCACUCCGUCCUCUGGAUUCAACACCUCCAACCUUCGUCUCUGUUAAAUUUCCAUUUGGUUUAGAAGGCUCGUUCAGCCAUCACUCUAUGUUGCAAUAGUGGCGGUGACGAUGUUUCUUUUGUGACUUAAAAACUCUGAAAAAAGACCAGGUUUUGUAAAGGUAAGACAAUAACGACCACAACCUCGACUCAACCCGUGUUUCCGCAACAACGGGAAUUUGAGCAACUUCGCCUCAUUUCUUUCCGCCGGGCUUCCAUAAUUGACGAAACCAAGCAACAAACCUUCCAGCUCUGCAACGACAACAAAUGACAGCAGUGACACAACUUCGGUAAAUAUCUCGAUUUCG